This 2416-nucleotide ribosomal RNA is filed under the name human gut metagenome. Its description in RNAcentral is "bacterial LSU rRNA". It matches the Rfam family "Bacterial large subunit ribosomal RNA", at positions 1 to 2438 of the family's 2925-position model. The record is from RNAcentral.
GAAAGUAAAGAAGGGCGCAUGGCGGAUGCCUUGGCUCUCGGAGGCGAUGAAGGACGUGAUAAGCUGCGAUAAGCUUUGGGGAGGUGCAAAUGACCUUUGAUCCAGAGAUUUCCGAAUGGGACAACCCAAUAUCUUGAAGAGGUAUUAUCCAACGUUGUUGGAGGCUAACGCAGGGAACUGAAACAUCUUAGUACCUGCAGGAAAAGAAAAUAAACAAUGAUUCCCCCAGUAGUGGCGAGCGAACGGGGAACAGCCCAAACCAUCCAUGUUACGGCAUGGGUGGGGUUGUAGGACUACGCCGUUGCAUGAAGACAUCAGAGAAGAACUUUCUGGAAAGAAAGACCAUAGAGCAUGACAGUUGCGUAUUCGAAUGUUGUCGAAGCAUAGUAGUAUCCUGAGUAGCGCGGAGCACGAGGAAUUCUGCGUGAAUCUGCCGGGACCAUCCGGUAAGGCUAAAUACUCCCGAGAGACCGAUAGCGAACCAGUACCGUGAGGGAAAGGUGAAAAGCACUUCGAACAGAAGAGUGAAAUAGUUCCUGAAACCGUGCGCCUACAAGCGGUCGGAGCUCGUUAAUGAGUGACGGCGUGCCUUUUGCAUAAUGAACCUACGAGUUGCCUUUGCCGGCAAGGUUAAGUGUGACGACACACGUAUCCGAAGCGAAAGCGAGUCUGAACAGGGCGUAUAGUCGGCAGUGGCAGACGCGAAACCAAGUGAUCUACCCUUGGCCAGGUUGAAGGCUGGGUAACACCAGCUGGAGGACCGCACCAAUAAGCGUUGAAAAGCUUCUGGAUGAGCUGAGGGUAGGGGUGAAAGGCUAAUCAAACUUGGAGAUAGCUCGUACUCCCCGAAAUGCAUUUAGGUGCAGCCUUGCGGGUUACUGAUGUGAGGUAGAGCGACUGAUAAGAUGCGAGGGCUUCACCGCCUAUCAAGUCUUGACAAACUCCGAAUGCGCAUCAGUUCUACCGCAGGAGUGAGGGCAUGGGUGCUAAGGUCCGUGCCCGAGAGGAGAAGAAUCCGGACCACCUGCUAAGGUCCCGAAAUGACAGCUAAGUUAAACUAACGAAGUCUGACUGCUAAGACAGCUAGGAUGUUGGCUUGGAAGCAGCCAUUCAUUUAAAGAGUGCGUAACAGCUCACUAGUCGAGGAGUCGGGCGUGGAUAAUAAUCGGGUAUCAAGUUGUCUACCGAAGCAGUGGGAUCAUUUAUAUGAUCGGUAGGGGAGCAUUCCAGUCAGCGUCGAAGGCGUACCGUGAGGUAUUCUGGAGCGUCUGGAAAAGCAAAUGUAGGUAUAAGUAACGAUAAAGGGGGCGGGAAACCCCCUCGCCGAAAGACUAAGGUUUCCUGAUCAACGCUAAUCGGAUCAGGGUCAGUCGGGUCCUAAGGCUCAGCCGAACGGCGAUGCCGAUGGCAGAAACGGUUAAUAUUCCGUUACUACCUUCAGGAGUGACGUGGAGACGCAGUAGUGACAGUGCCGCCAUCUGACGGAAUAGAUGGUUGAAGGGUGUAGGAGUCGAUCAUGGCAGGCAAAUCCACCAUGAGAUCCGAACCUGAUAGUAUGCCGCGUCCUUCGGGACAAGGCAAUAGUGCGCGUAAGCAUGCUGCCGAGAAAAUCCGCUAAACUUAAUCCUGCAGGUACCCGUACCGCAAACGGACACACGUAGUCGGGAUGAAUAUUCUAAGGCGCUUGAGUGAUUCACGGUUAAGGAACUAGGCAAACUGACCCUGUAACUUCGGGAUAAAGGGUCCCUACCCUUUUAUGGGAGGGCGCAGAGAAUCGGUCCAGGCAACUGUUUAACAAAAACACAGGGCUGUGCCAAAUCGAAAGAUCCAGUAUACAGCCUGACACCUGCCCGGUGCUGGAAGGUUAAGAGGAGAUGUCAUCGAUAAGAGAAGCGUUGAAUUGAAGCCCCAGUAAACGGCGGCCGUAACUAUAACGGUCCUAAGGUAGCGAAAUUCCUUGUCGGGUAAGUUCCGACCUGCACGAAUGGUGUAAUGAUCUGGACACUGUCUCAACCGUGAGCUCAGUGAAAUUGUAGUAUCGGUGAAGAUGCCGAUUACCCGCGAUGGGACGAAAAGACCCCGUGAACCUUUACUAUAGCUUAUCAUUGAAUCUGGGCACGUGAUGUGUAGGAUAGGUCGGAGGCUUUGAAGCAGGUACGCCAGUAUUUGUGGAGCCGCUGUUGAAAUACGACCCUUUAUUUGUUUGGAUUCUAACCCGUGGAACGGGGACAUUGAUUGGUGGGUAGUUUGACUGGGGUGGUCGCCUCCAAAAGCGUAACGGAGGCUUCUAAAGGUGCCCUCAGGACGAUUGGUAACCGUCCGUAGAGUGUAAUGGCAUAAGGGCGCUUGACUGGGAGACAGACAAGUCGAUCAGGUAGGAAACUAGAGCAUAGUGAUCCGGUGUUUCCGUAUGGAA